This 492-nucleotide ribosomal RNA is filed under the name uncultured bacterium. RNAcentral's name for it is "partial 16S ribosomal RNA". It matches the Rfam family "Bacterial small subunit ribosomal RNA", at positions 29 to 507 of the family's 1533-position model. The record is from RNAcentral.
AGUGAACGCCGGCGGUAGGCCUAACACAUGCAAGUCGAACGGCAGCACAGUAAGAGCUUGCUCUUACGGGUGGCGAGUGGCGGACGGGUGAGGAAUACAUCGGAAUCUACUUUUUCGUGGGGGAUAACGUAGGGAAACUUACGCUAAUACCGCAUACGACCUACGGGUGAAAGCAGGGGAUCUUCGGACCUUGCGCGAUUGAAUGAGCCGAUGUCGGAUUAGCUAGUUGGCGGGGUAAAGGCCCACCAAGGCGACGAUCCGUAGCUGGUCUGAGAGGAUGAUCAGCAACACUGGAACUGAGACACGGUCCAGACUCCUACGGGAGGCAGCAGUGGGGAAUAUUGGACAAUGGGCGCAAGCCUGAUCCAGCCAUACCGCGUGGGUGAAGAAGGCCUUCGGGUUGUAAAGCCCUUUUGUUGGGAAAGAAAAGCAGCAGGUUAAUACCCCGCUGUUCUGACGGUACCCAAAGAAUAAGCACCGGCUAACUUCGUG